Molecule: ribosomal RNA, 250 nt
Filed under: uncultured bacterium
Lineage: Bacteria
Also listed under: 1 other name
Description: partial 16S ribosomal RNA
Rfam family: Bacterial small subunit ribosomal RNA
Source: RNAcentral
UACGGAGGGGGCUAGCGUUGUUCGGAAUUACUGGGCGUAAAGCGCACGUAGGCGGCUUUGUAAGUUAGAGGUGAAAGCCCAGAGCUCAACUCUGGAACUGCCUUUAAGACUGCAUCGCUUGAAUCAUGGAGAGGUUAGUGGAAUUCCGAGUGUAGAGGUGAAAUUCGUAGAUAUUCGGAAGAACACCAGUGGCGAAGGCGACUAACUGGACAUGUAUUGACGCUGAGGUGCGAAAGCGUGGGGAGCAAAC